GGAGACGUGACAGAGCGGCCGAAUGUACUGGUCUUGAAAACCAGCGAUGGGAAACCAUCCGAGGGUUCAAAUCCCUCCGUCUCCGCUA
This 88-nucleotide transfer RNA is filed under the name Corynebacterium glutamicum. RNAcentral's name for it is "tRNA-Ser". It matches the Rfam family "tRNA". From Rfam's summary of the family: Transfer RNA (tRNA) molecules are approximately 80 nucleotides in length. Their secondary structure includes four short double-helical elements and three loops (D, anti-codon, and T loops). The record is from RNAcentral. RNAcentral also lists the same sequence under 2 other names. Lineage: Bacteria; Bacillati; Actinomycetota; Actinomycetes; Mycobacteriales; Corynebacteriaceae.